This is a long non-coding RNA of Chinchilla lanigera (long-tailed chinchilla), 695 nucleotides long. RefSeq lists it as uncharacterized. The transcript has 3 exons. NCBI's taxonomy places the organism in Eukaryota, Metazoa, Chordata, Mammalia, Rodentia, Chinchillidae. The record is from RefSeq and is a predicted model, not a curated record.
GGGAGUUGUAGUUGAGAGGAAGCCGGCUGAGCGCCAGAACGGUCAAGCAGCUACGGUUAGCGUUUGCCAACGGCCACCGCGGGCUGUAGACCGCCGACAGAGCAAGCAGCCCCCUCGCCCUUCGGACCAUGAGGAUUUCCUGGCCUACGAACAAGGAGUUCACCUCCCAUCGGGGACCUUCGGAAAGAGCCGUGAGUGACUUCACACAGGCACCAAACUAGGCACUCCCUUCCGGAGAGCAGAGCUUCAUGUAGACCAGGAGGGAGGACAGCGACCCAACAGCCAGACACAGGUGAGGCUCCAGGCAGAGCGGAUGUUGCGAAGAUAUUUGUGGAACGGAUGAACAAAUGAAUGAGUCAGCCACAGCAGCAGCCCCGGGGUGUGCGGGCAGGAGUCACAGUGCGGAGGACAGCAGAGCACAUGCAGAUGCCCGGCCAGGAUGCCUCGAAAGGCGAAGGCAAGGAACUGACGCAGAAUUGACUGAGGGAAGGAGGAGGAGCAAGAUGGCAACUUGGAAGCUCUCUGGAAAGGAAACUUCCAGAGAUGCAGAGCCUGACUCUUGCCUUCUACACAGUGUCAGGCACCUUUGCCAGUGGUCUCCAAGCGCAGGACUGCCUGUCCCCUGGCACGCUGUCCCCAAGGAGUCUGCAUUGCUCAUGGCUAGAGUGUCUGCCCUGCAUGCCUGCUACUAAGAG